This 245-nucleotide unclassified non-coding RNA is filed under the name plant metagenome. RNAcentral describes it as "partial contains small subunit ribosomal RNA and internal transcribed spacer 1". The stretch from base 1 to 46 matches the Rfam family "Eukaryotic small subunit ribosomal RNA", at positions 1786 to 1831 of the family's 1831-position model. The record is from RNAcentral.
AGGUCGUAACAAGGUUUCCGUAGGUGAGCCUGCGGAGGGAUCAUUACUGAGUUAGGGUCCUCGUGGCCCGACCUCCAACCCUUGUGUUUAACCAUACCAUGUUGCUUCGGGCGGGCCCCGUCUUCGCAAGAAGACCGCCGGGGGGGUUUUCACCGCCCUCUGGUCCGUUGCCCGUCGAUAGCCCUUAAACCAAAACUCUUUAUGAAACUGUCGUCUAAGUCUCAAUUUUUAUAAUCAAAAUAAAA